CCUACGGGAGGCAGCAGUAGGGAAUCUUCCGCAAUGGACGAAAGUCUGACGGAGCAACGCCGCGUGAGUGAAGAAGGUUUUCGGAUCGUAAAACUCUGUUGUGAGGGAAGAACAAGUACCAACCAACUACUGGUACCUUGACGGUACCUCACCAGAAAGCCACGGCUAACUACGUGCCAGCAGCCGCGGUAAUACGUAGGUGGCAAGCGUUGUCCGGAAUUAUUGGGCGUAAAGCGCGCGCAGGCGGUCCUUUAAGUCUGAUGUGAAAGCCCACGGCUCAACCGUGGAGGGUCAUUGGAAACUGGGGGACUUGAGUGCAGAAGAGGAAAGUGGAAUUCCACGUGUAGCGGUGAAAUGCGUAGAGAUGUGGAGGAACACCAGUGGCGAAGGCGACUUUCUGGUCUGUAACUGACGCUGAGGCGCGAAAGCGUGGGGAGCAAACAGGAUUAGAUACCCUGGUAGUCCACGCCGUAAACGAUGAGUGCUAAGUGUUAGGGGGUUUCCGCCCCUUAGUGCUGCAGCUAACGCAUUAAGCACUCCGCCUGGGGAGUACGGCCGCAAGGCUGAAACUCAAAUGAAUUGACGGGG
Molecule: ribosomal RNA, 588 nt
Filed under: uncultured Planococcus sp.
Lineage: Bacteria; Bacillati; Bacillota; Bacilli; Caryophanales; Caryophanaceae
Description: bacterial SSU rRNA
Rfam family: Bacterial small subunit ribosomal RNA
Source: RNAcentral